Molecule: non-coding RNA, 81 nt
Organism: Earliella scabrosa
Lineage: Eukaryota; Fungi; Basidiomycota; Agaricomycetes; Polyporales; Polyporaceae
Source: the annotation of a GenBank genome assembly
GGGCACGUGGUGUAGUUGGUUAUCACGCUCGCUUAGCAGCAGAUAUGCGAGAGGGGUCCGGUUCGAUCCCGGACGUGUCCA